This 164-nucleotide small nuclear RNA is filed under the name Amborella trichopoda. RNAcentral's name for it is "snRNA U2". It matches the Rfam family "U2 spliceosomal RNA". From Rfam's summary of the family: U2 is a small nuclear RNA (snRNA) component of the spliceosome (involved in pre-mRNA splicing). Complementary binding between U2 snRNA (in an area lying towards the 5' end but 3' to hairpin I) and the branchpoint sequence (BPS) of the intron results the bulging out of an unpaired adenosine, on the BPS, which initiates a nucleophilic attack at the intronic 5' splice site, thus starting the first of two transesterification reactions that mediate splicing. The record is from Rfam by way of RNAcentral. Lineage: Eukaryota; Viridiplantae; Streptophyta; Magnoliopsida; Amborellales; Amborellaceae.
AUGCCUUUCUCGGCCUUUUUGACUAAGAUCAAGCGCAGUAUCUAUUUUUAUCAGUUUAAUAUUUGAUACGUGGUCCAUAAGAUCACAUGACAUUAAAUUAACUUUUAGUGGGGAAGGGGCCACCACACUAGCUUGCUAGUGGGCCCUUGAGCGUUGCACACUCU